RNAcentral lists this ribosomal RNA (490 nucleotides) under uncultured bacterium. RNAcentral describes it as "partial 16S ribosomal RNA". It matches the Rfam family "Bacterial small subunit ribosomal RNA", at positions 30 to 507 of the family's 1533-position model. The record is from RNAcentral.
AUUGAACGCUGGCGGCAGGCCUAACACAUGCAAGUCGAACGGUAACAGGAAGCAGCUUGCUGCUUCGCUGACGAGUGGCGGACGGGUGAGUAAUGUCUGGGAAGCUGCCUGAUGGAGGGGGAUAACUACUGGAAACGGUAGCUAAUACCGCAUAAUGUCGCAAGCCAAAAGAGGGGGACCUUCGGGCCUCUUGCCAUCGGAUGUGCCCAGAUGGGAUUAGCUUGUUGGUGGGGUGACGGCUCACCAAGGCGACGAUCCCUAGCUGGUCUGAGAGGAUGACCAUCCACACUGGAACUGAGACACGGUCCAGACUCCUACGGGAGGCAGCAGUGGGGAAUAUUGCACAAUGGGCGCAAGCCUGAUGCAGCCAUGCCGCGUGUAUGAAGAAGGCCUUCGGGUUGUAAAGUACUUUCAGCGGGGAGGAAGGGAGUAAAGUUAAUACCUUUGCUCAUUGACGUUACCUGCAGAAGAAGCACCGGCUAACUCCGUG